This 253-nucleotide ribosomal RNA is filed under the name uncultured bacterium. RNAcentral's name for it is "partial 16S ribosomal RNA". It matches the Rfam family "Bacterial small subunit ribosomal RNA", at positions 524 to 776 of the family's 1533-position model. The record is from RNAcentral.
UACGGAGGGUGCAAGCGUUGUCCGGAUUUACUGGGCGUAAAGGAUGCGUAGGCGGACAUUUAAGUCAGAUGUGGAAUACCCGAGCUUAACUUGGGUGCUGCAUUUGAAACUGGGUGUCUAGAGUGCAGGAGAGGUAAGUGGAAUUCCUAGUGUAGCGGUGAAAUGCGUAGAGAUUAGGAAGAACACCAGUGGCGAAGGCGGCUCUCUGGACCGUAACUGACGCUGAGGCGCGAAAGCGUGGGGAGCAAACAGG